RNAcentral lists this non-coding RNA (800 nucleotides) under Nasimyia megacephala. Its description in RNAcentral is "12S ribosomal RNA". The stretch from base 376 to 794 matches the Rfam family "Microsporidia small subunit ribosomal RNA", at positions 752 to 1303 of the family's 1311-position model. The record is from RNAcentral. Lineage: Eukaryota; Metazoa; Arthropoda; Insecta; Diptera; Stratiomyidae.
AAAAAGUUUUAUUCUUGCUUAAAGAUUUGUUUAUAAUUUCUUUUACAUGUAAAUUUUUGUGGGGACUAGUAAUUGAAUUGAAAAUUCUUUAUUGGUGAUUAUUUAUUCGCAGUAAUUGAUAUUAUUAAUUUAGGAAACUGAGAAAUAGGAAUUUUAUUCAGUAUUGGUAAAAUUUGUGCCAGCAACCGCGGUUAUACAUAAAAUAUGAAGAAAUCAUAUUAGUAAUAGUUAGACGUUGUUUUUAAAAAAUUAUUAAGCUUAUUAGGUGAAAUUUUAAGUUUAAUUAUUUUGAUUUAAAUUUGGUUGAGGCUAGGAAAUUUCAGGGUUUAAACUAGGAUUAGAUACCCUAUUAUUUGGAAUGUAAUUAAUUUAUUAGAGUAGUAAUAGUUAUGUUCUUGAAACUUAAAGAAUUUGGCGGUAUUUUAAUCUGUUCAGAGGAAUCUGUUCUAUAAUCGAUAAUCCACGAAAACUUUACUUGAAUUUAUUAAUUAAUUUGUAUACCGCCGUUAUAGAUUAUCUUGUAAGAGCAAUAAUUUUCUUGAGUUUGUAAAAAAGUAUAUCAGGUCAAGGUGCAGUUUAUAUUUAAGGAAGAAAUGGAUUACAAUAAAUUUAUUUAUACGGAUGAUUAAGUUGAAAUAUUUAGUUGAAGGUGGAUUUGAUAGUAAAAUUAUUAAUUAUAUUAAUUUGAUUUUAGCUCUAAAAUAUGUACACAUCGCCCGUCGCUCUUAUUUCUUUAUAAAUAAUAUAAAAUAAGAUAAGUCGUAACAUAGUAGAGUUACUGGAAAGUGAUUCUAGAAUGA